CAGCCGCCGCGGUAAUACGAAGGGGGCUGGCGUUGCUCGGAAUGACUGGGCGUAAAGGGCGCGUAGGCGGAUUGUUUAGUUAGGCGUGAAAUUCCUGGGCUUAACCUGGGGACUGCGCUUAAUACAGGCAGUCUAGAGUGAGGAAGAGGGUUGUGGAAUUCCCAGUGUAGAGGUGAAAUUCGUAGAUAUUGGGAAGAACACCGGUGGCGAAGGCGGCAACCUGGUCCUUGACUGACGCUGAGGCGCGAAAGCGUGGGGAGCAAACAGGAUUAGAUACCCCCGUAGUCCCUGUCUCUUAUAC
RNAcentral lists this ribosomal RNA (301 nucleotides) under uncultured bacterium. Its description in RNAcentral is "partial 16S ribosomal RNA". It matches the Rfam family "Bacterial small subunit ribosomal RNA", at positions 509 to 807 of the family's 1533-position model. The record is from RNAcentral.